Carassius carassius (crucian carp) is the source of this 593-nucleotide long non-coding RNA. RefSeq lists it as uncharacterized. Lineage: Eukaryota; Metazoa; Chordata; Actinopteri; Cypriniformes; Cyprinidae. The transcript has 3 exons. The record is from RefSeq and is a predicted model, not a curated record.
UGCUCACAGAUCAUUAUUAACAUUCUGUAUAUAAUUCAAUUUUAUUUUCUCUCCCUUUUUUAUUAUUUUUAUUUUUAUUUUUAGCUGAAAAGACGUAAAGAAAGCAGUCAGUCCAGUCGUGUGUCUGGAGAGGUAUUCCUUCAGAAAUGGAGAAGACAGAAAGCUGCGGAGGCAGACAUUUGCAGCAUGUUCGAGUGAGCAUGAUGACCACAAGUGUGUGUCGAACUUUUCAUGACCUGAUGACUGUGUUUCCCAAUCCUGAUCCUGGAGAACCCCAGCACUGCACGGUUUUGGUGUCUCUCUUAUCUGACAAACACACUUUUGAGGUCUUGGAGUCUUCACUGAUGAGCUGAUGAGUUGAAUCAGGAUUGUUUGCAGAUAACACUGUAGUUCUCCAUCAUGCACAAGGACUCCCCUCGUUAACUCUUUAUCCCCCGCACACACAGAAAUGGUCCCUGGAUCAGUGAUUAGACUUUGCAGUGGUUUGAUUUUUGCAAAAGAUGUAACUUUGUUUUAAUUAUAAGCUCAUAAUGAAUACAUUACAGAACCAGUGAUGAAAACAAUAGUUAAAAAUAGUAUUUUUCGCAUUGAUA